This 770-nucleotide ribosomal RNA is filed under the name Microbacteriaceae bacterium. RNAcentral describes it as "bacterial SSU rRNA". It matches the Rfam family "Bacterial small subunit ribosomal RNA", at positions 43 to 824 of the family's 1533-position model. The record is from RNAcentral. Lineage: Bacteria; Bacillati; Actinomycetota; Actinomycetes; Micrococcales; Microbacteriaceae.
CGUGCUUAACACAUGCAAGUCGAACGAUGAACCAGGAGCUUGCUCUUGGGGAUUAGUGGCGAACGGGUGAGUAACACGUGAGUAACCUGCCCUUGACUCUGGGAUAAGCGUUGGAAACGACGUCUAAUACCGGAUACGAGCUUCAGCCGCAUGGCUAGGAGCUGGAAAGAAUUUCGGUCAAGGAUGGACUCGCGGCCUAUCAGCUAGUUGGUGAGGUAAUGGCUCACCAAGGCGACGACGGGUAGCCGGCCUGAGAGGGUGACCGGCCACACUGGAACUGAGACACGGUCCAGACUCCUACGGGAGGCAGCAGUGGGGAAUAUUGCACAAUGGGCGAAAGCCUGAUGCAGCAACGCCGCGUGAGGGACGACGGCCUUCGGGUUGUAAACCUCUUUUAGCAGGGAAGAAGCGAAAGUGACGGUACCUGCAGAAAAAGCACCGGCUAACUACGUGCCAGCAGCCGCGGUAAUACGUAGGGUGCAAGCGUUGUCCGGAAUUAUUGGGCGUAAAGAGCUCGUAGGCGGUUUGUCGCGUCUGCUGUGAAAUCCCGAGGCUCAACCUCGGGUCUGCAGUGGGUACGGGCAGACUAGAGUGCGGUAGGGGAGAUUGGAAUUCCUGGUGUAGCGGUGGAAUGCGCAGAUAUCAGGAGGAACACCGAUGGCGAAGGCAGAUCUCUGGGCCGUAACUGACGCUGAGGAGCGAAAGGGUGGGGAGCAAACAGGCUUAGAUACCCUGGUAGUCCACCCCGUAAACGUUGGGCGCUAGAUGUG